ACUUAAAUAGUUUAUUUAUUAAAAUAUUGACUUGUGGUGUCAAAGAUAUAGCUAAUUAUUUUAGGUU
RNAcentral lists this transfer RNA (67 nucleotides) under Deropeltis paulinoi. Its description in RNAcentral is "tRNA-His". It matches the Rfam family "tRNA". From Rfam's summary of the family: Transfer RNA (tRNA) molecules are approximately 80 nucleotides in length. Their secondary structure includes four short double-helical elements and three loops (D, anti-codon, and T loops). Lineage: Eukaryota; Metazoa; Arthropoda; Insecta; Blattodea; Blattidae. The record is from RNAcentral.